GUUUGUUCGUCUUUCGAUUCAUAAAUAAACGUCAACCGAUUUACGCCCCAGUGCUCCAAUAGUUUCUCUGCACGUUAGGCUUUUAUCUUUUAAUUAAUUUGUAAGGACUUUAUUUAUGUCUAAUAAAUCAACUGGCACAGUAAAAUGGUUUGACGAGAGCAAAGGUUUUGGCUUUAUUUCUCAAGCUGACGGCGGCAAAGACGUAUUCGUACACUUCCGCGCUAUCGAGUCUGAAGGUUUCCGUACCCUGACUGAAGGUCAAACUGUUGAGUUUGUAGUUGAGCAAGGCAACAAGGGCCCUCAAGCGGCUCAGGUAGUUGUACGCUAAUUACGCUCCGGCAGACGCGUCUUGCGUCUGCCAGCCA
RNAcentral lists this small RNA (365 nucleotides) under Marisediminitalea aggregata. Its description in RNAcentral is "Aestuariibacter aggregatus cspA thermoregulator". It matches the Rfam family "cspA thermoregulator", at positions 78 to 428 of the family's 428-position model. Lineage: Bacteria; Pseudomonadati; Pseudomonadota; Gammaproteobacteria; Alteromonadales; Alteromonadaceae. The record is from Rfam by way of RNAcentral.